Molecule: ribosomal RNA, 379 nt
Filed under: uncultured bacterium
Lineage: Bacteria
Description: bacterial SSU rRNA
Rfam family: Bacterial small subunit ribosomal RNA
Source: RNAcentral
UUUUGGACAAUGGGGGCAACCCUGAUCCAGCCAUGCCGCGUGAGUGAAGAAGGCCUUCGGGUUGUAAAGCUCUUUCGGACGGAACGAAAUGGGCGGGACUAAUACUCCUGUCUGAUGACGGUACCGUAAGAAGAAGCACCGGCUAACUACGUGCCAGCAGCCGCGGUAAUACGUAGGGUGCGAGCGUUAAUCGGAAUUACUGGGCGUAAAGCGUGCGCAGGCGGUUUCGUAAGCUGGAGGUGAAAUCCCGGGCUUAACCUGGGAAUGGCCUUCAGACUGCAGGCUAGAGUGCGGCAAGGAGGUGAAUUCCACGUGAGCAGUAAAUGCGAAGUGUGAGAACACCAUGGCGAGGAGCUCCUGGCCAGACUGCGUCGUGCAA